GCGGGCGUGGUGGAAUUGGUAGACACAACAGACUUAAAAUCUGUCGGAGGUAACUCCGUGCCGGUUCAAGUCCGGCCGUCCGCACCA
RNAcentral lists this transfer RNA (87 nucleotides) under Hyphococcus sp. Its description in RNAcentral is "tRNA-Leu". It matches the Rfam family "tRNA". From Rfam's summary of the family: Transfer RNA (tRNA) molecules are approximately 80 nucleotides in length. Their secondary structure includes four short double-helical elements and three loops (D, anti-codon, and T loops). The record is from RNAcentral. Lineage: Bacteria; Pseudomonadati; Pseudomonadota; Alphaproteobacteria; Parvularculales; Parvularculaceae.